RNAcentral lists this ribosomal RNA (414 nucleotides) under uncultured microorganism. RNAcentral describes it as "bacterial SSU rRNA". It matches the Rfam family "Archaeal small subunit ribosomal RNA", at positions 459 to 872 of the family's 1478-position model. The record is from RNAcentral.
CAGCCGCCGCGGUAAUACCGGCGGCCCGAGUGGCGGUCACUAUUAUUGGGCUUAAAGCGUCCGUAGCCGGGUUGGGAAGUCCUCCGGGAAAUCUGGCCGCUUAACGGUCAGAAUGCCGGAGGAUACUCCCAGCCUAGGGAGCGGGAGAGGCCGAGGGUAUUCCCGGAGUAGGGGUGAAAUCCUAUAAUCCCGGGAGGACCACCUGUGGCGAAGGCGCCCGGCUGGCACGCGCCCGACGGUGAGGGACGAAAGCUGGGGGAGCAAACCGGAUUAGAUACCCGGGUAGUCCUGGCUGUAAACGAUGCGGACUUUGUGUCGGACAAGCUAUGAGCUUGUCCGGUGCCGGAGGGAAACCGUUAAGUCCGCCGCCUGGGGAGUACGGCCGCAAGGCUGAAACUUAAAGGAAUUGGCGGG